ACCACAUGGAUUGCCCUAGUAACGGCGAGUGAAGCGGCAACAGCUCAAAUUUGAAAUCUGGCCUCCUUCGGGUGGUCCGAGUUGUAAUUUGCAGAGGGUGCUUUGGCGUCGGCAGCGGUCUAAGUUCCUUGGAACAGGACAUCACAGAGGGUGAGAAUCCCGUACGUGGUCGCCUGCCUUCGCCGUGUAAAGCCCCUUCGACGAGUCGAGUUGUUUGGGAAUGCAGCUCUAAAUGGGAGGUAAAUUUCUUCUAAAGCUAAAUACUGGCCAGAGACCGAUAGCGCACAAGUAGAGUGAUCGAAAGAUGAAAAGCACUUUGGAAAGAGAGUCAAACAGCACGUGAAAUUGUUGAAAGGGAAGCGCUUGCCGCCAGACUUGCCCGUAGUUGCUCAUCGGAACUCUUUGCUCCGAGCACUCUUCUGCGGGCAGGCCAGCAUCAGUUUGGGCGACCGGAUAAAGGCCUCUGUCAUGUAUCUUCCUUCGGGAUGACCUUAUAGGGGAGGCGUAAUGCGGCCAGCCCGGACUGAGGUCCGCGCAUCUGCUAGGAUGCUGGCGUAAUGGCUGUAAGCGGCCCGUCUUGAAACACGGACCAAGGAGUCUAACAUCUAUGCGAGUGUUUGGGUGUCAAGCCCGGGCGCGUAAUGAAAGUGAACGGAGGUGGGAACCCUCUUCGGGGGGCGCACCAUCGACCGAUCCUGAUGUCUUCGGAUGGAUUUGAGUAAGAGCAUAGCUGUUGGGACCCGAAAGAUGGUGAACUAUGCUUGAAUAGGGUGAAGCCAGAGG
Molecule: ribosomal RNA, 783 nt
Filed under: Lentithecium fluviatile
Lineage: Eukaryota; Fungi; Ascomycota; Dothideomycetes; Pleosporales; Lentitheciaceae
Description: eukaryotic LSU rRNA
Rfam family: Eukaryotic large subunit ribosomal RNA
Source: RNAcentral